AGAAUUCUCUUAUCCAACAUCAACAUCUUGGUCAGAUUUGAACUCUUCAA
Ailuropoda melanoleuca (giant panda) is the source of this 50-nucleotide microRNA precursor. The record is from Ensembl. Lineage: Eukaryota; Metazoa; Chordata; Mammalia; Carnivora; Ursidae.